This 209-nucleotide long non-coding RNA is filed under the name Elaeis guineensis (African oil palm). RNAcentral's name for it is "long non-coding RNA (EGUI_LNC071977)". Lineage: Eukaryota; Viridiplantae; Streptophyta; Magnoliopsida; Arecales; Arecaceae. The record is from RNAcentral.
GUUAGCUUCACGAGGGAUUUAGUGCAACUGGAAGGGAUCAUCUCUCCAUCGAUUAUUGAUGGUUGGGCACCUCGACAAGUGAUGGUGAUGGUGGACUUCUUAAUCAUCUAGGUUUUCUUUGCUUAUAGUGCUAUUAUCAAGUGAUUGGCACUUAAUACAAUAAGAGCAAUUAUCUCUGCAUAUCAAAUGAUGAAGUUCGCAAUUGAGCA